GCAAGCCGCGGCUGACUGCGUAGCUAUAGAAGCCGCCGUUUGUGGCAAAUAGAGGGAUUACAACUGGCACUUUCAUUUACUUUUGAAUGUGAGCGUGAGAUGAAGAACUCAUCAAAGCAUUCAGAGGCUGAUCCAGAACCCGAUCGAAGGGGGGUCACAAAAACCGAUCAGAACUACAGAAGACAAGUAAAACUGCAGCAAAGCCUUUCUGAUAGCAUGUUUGCUGGAUGAGAGAGUGUAUUGGUGAUCUGAUGCUCUCUUGUGGUCAAAGGUACACAUUGUAAAGGACUGUUGAUCUUCGCCUCUACCUUGCUGCUCCCACCUUGCUUGUGUAACACUAAAUAGACAUCAACUUUUGCCAGAUGCAUGUUGUCCAUUUGGGAAAUUCAAAUUGACAAUGAUGACGUAAUUGCUAGUGUGUUAGUUAAAUUUCUGAGUUUCUGCGCAGAAUGUAGUCAGUGUAAAUGCUUUAUAAUCUAAUACAUGUAUUCUAGAUUAAGGCCAUGACCUGUUGUAGUCUACAUACAGACACAACUACAUAGUUUGAACGGCUUGUGCAACUUUUCUAUGUAAUAAUGUUCAAACAGACUAGUAUUGU
Corticium candelabrum is the source of this 598-nucleotide long non-coding RNA. RefSeq lists it as uncharacterized. The transcript is spliced from 4 exons. NCBI's taxonomy places the organism in Eukaryota, Metazoa, Porifera, Homoscleromorpha, Homosclerophorida, Plakinidae. The record is from RefSeq and is a predicted model, not a curated record.